This 522-nucleotide ribosomal RNA is filed under the name uncultured bacterium. Its description in RNAcentral is "bacterial SSU rRNA". It matches the Rfam family "Bacterial small subunit ribosomal RNA", at positions 25 to 518 of the family's 1533-position model. The record is from RNAcentral.
CAGGAUGAACGCUGGCGGCGUGCCUAAUACAUGCAAGUCGAACGGUCUUUCUAUGGAAGCUUGCUUCCACUGAGAAGAUAGUGGCGAACGGGUGAGUAACACGUGGGUAACCUGCCCAUAAGAGGGGGGAUAACAUCCGGAAACGGGUGCUAAUACCGCAUAGUUUUCUUGAUCGCAUGAUUGGGAAAGGAAAGACGGCCUUUGUGCUGUCGCUUAUGGAUGGACCCGCGGCGUAUUAGUUAGUUGGUGAGGUAACGGCUCACCAAGACGAUGAUACGUAGCCGACCUGAGAGGGUGAUCGGCCACAUUGGGACUGAGACACGGCCCAAACUCCUACGGGAGGCAGCAGUAGGGAAUCUUCCGCAAUGGACGAAAGUCUGACGGAGCAACGCCGCGUGAGUGAAGAAAGGGUUUUCGGAUCGUAAAACUCUGUUGUCAGAGAAGAACAAGUUGGAGAGUAACUGCUCCAGCCUUGACGGUAUCUGACCAGAAAGCCACGGCUAACUACGUGCCAGCAGCGGC